Molecule: non-coding RNA, 2801 nt
Organism: Paramormyrops kingsleyae
Lineage: Eukaryota; Metazoa; Chordata; Actinopteri; Osteoglossiformes; Mormyridae
Source: RefSeq, a predicted model, not a curated record
UGUCAAGAAAGUUAGUGCGGAAGCCGCGAGAGAUCUGGUGGACACCAUUUUGGGAAGGUCGAAUUAUUACGCUCAUCUACCCAAAACGCAGUCUGCAAAAUGCUUCAAAAAGCAACAAAGUAGCGUAUCAUAAAUUAAGUUUUAAUUACUGUUUAUGUCAAGUGGAAAAUGUGCAAGUAAAAUGUUAGUAGAACAGUAGAGACAGCGCUGCUUCCUCCACUUAUGGCAUGGCUAGCAGGGAAGAAGUGUUUCACAAGAAAGUUUUGGGGAAGCUGUACCCGGUGCCGCAGAGGUCUGAAAAAAGCCAGAGUCCGAAGAGAGACGCCGAGGCUGCGAUAGAAAAAACGGGUCUGGGCAUAAAGGCGGGGAAGAGACCGAUAACCGACACACAGAAUGCCUGCCAGCCACACAGGAGAUUGUACACAGUUCUGCCCCCACCGCCGGAUUUUGUGUCCAAUGACAAGGGAUCUGGGCCCCUCCCAGCUACUGGGGUGUUAAACACAGAUGUGCAUCUUGCUGAUGAGGAUGAAGAGGUUUUCCAGUGUGGAGGGCAGCGAAGGAGGAGGAGGAGGGUGAGGAAGGCUGGAAGAGAUGGUGCAGAGAGCCCGGCGGUCCAGGCUGCCGGAGGUCAGGAGGAUGAGGUGACCCCCACCAUGGCAGAAGGAGAGACGAAGCUCAGCAGGAACAAGAGGAGGAAGCUGAAGAAGAAACGGCGCAAGGAGAAGUUCCUCUCCCUAGGUCUGACUCCCAGUGCUGCUGCCCUGCAGUUCAUUUACCAGCCAGAGGAGGGCAGCAGAGAGGCCGAGGGCGAGGAACUGAUAGAGGACACACAGAGUAAUGAAAAGCAAAUGGCUGAGCUGCUGGAAUUCCUCCAGGCAACUCUGGAAGUCUAUGGCCGGUCGACCCCGGAUGGGAAGCAGCAAGACCUCAGCCCCAAGUCCGGCGCACAGGCCCUGCUUAAUGGGCUCUUUAGCCGGGCGGUACCCCCUUCGGACCUGUGCCGUCUGCGGCGCCUUAGGUCACUGGUGCUGCUACAGGAUGUGGACCGGCUGAGCACAGAACUGGGCCAAUUCCAGCAGAGCACCACCAUGGGUCCUGGAGAGCUCUCCCUCAUUUGUUCCCUGUUCCGCUACUGGAUUACGGACAUCCUUCCGGCGUCUGGAAAACAGACUGCACAGACUUCAUAACUUAUCCUGCUCGUGGUGAACACAGGGGUGCCCCCUGUCAGUAAGACUACAGUUACCUCGCUGAUUACUCUGAGAACUGCAGUCUCCAGCUUCACCUUGGCCUGUGGAGAGGUUACCCCCCCACCCCGUAAUCUCACAGCAUCCCAGACUGCAUACCACCCCCCGUCCUCUAUCGAGAGUAGGUACCAUCCUGAAGAGCGAAGGAUGGAAGGAAACUUGCCCUCUCAUGAAAUCUCAAACUCACAGCGUUUCACGGCGAGGUUACAGCUGACUGCCAUCAUCGCCUUUUUCACACCAGCGCCGAAGUCCGACAUCAACCUACUUUUGACCUAAACUGUUCCUCAGUGACCCCUAAAAUUCUCCUUUUCAUUUGGAUCCUUUUGCUUCGAGACUCCUGUGAGUUUCGGGCCGGUCCUUUCAAACUGGCAGCUGGGUGCCCCCUCCGGCCCGGGAGCGGGGCUGCGUCGCUCAGAUUGCCGCCGUCUGCCGUUCCCGUCUCCUCUGGGCUCCACACUGUCACCAGACGCCUUUCUUCGUUUUGUCGCGACACCCCAUCCGGCGACCUGCGCCCGCGUUUGGCCUCGCGGGGCCUCACAGUGGGACAGUCUCGAUCCAUCCCGAAUUUUCAUUAGUAACUUCUGGUGGCUCCAUGUGGUUAUGGGACCGCCAGCAGAAGAGCGGGUUAAUCUCCUGCCACCAGCCCGGCUGGGGCACGGCCUGGCACAGCCUGGCACAGGGUCAUAUCAACACUCCUGGCCGCUCGUCCACUUUGUGCAGUUGGCUGAAAUUGCCUCCCUCUCUCUAACGGCAUGAGGGCCCUUUUAACUGAAGGUAGCGCCCACCCGCACCCCAAACCACCACAUUCCCUCCCUGCUCUGUUUACGUGCCGAGAAACCCGGUGCCCCUCCUUCGUCCUAUUAGUUCAAGAAAACUUUGUCUUCAAGUGCUCAGACAGCCUGUGUGUGUCUGGGCGUCUGUGUGUGUGUGUGUGUGUGUGUGUGUGUGUGUCUGCGCGUCUCUGUGUGUGUGUCCCCUACCCAUUAACCGCAGUCAAAGAAAGCUUGUAUGGAAAACCAGCCUGGCUCCGGGGGGCGCCACUCGCACCCGGCUCUGUCCGCUAAUCAUACCCCCCCACACCUGGGUAAACAGUCUGAAAAAGAAUGAAUAAAUUAAACAAAUUAUCAAAUAAAUACCUCAUGCUGAGAUUGCCUUACGAAGGUCAAAACAAGUCUGGGGACAGUUAAAAGAUAACUGGAAAUAGAAGAAUGGGAACUUGUGUGGGCGGUGGGAUUUGGACUUGGGUGCUUUAGCACUCGGGCCGGGCUGGGCGGAGCACCAGAGACCGCGCCUCUCAGGAAGUGAUGACGGUCAUUACCGCUAUAAAGCAUUAGUUAUUUGCCGAACGGGUUGCUAUGCAAUUUUAUUAAAAGUGUUUUCCUCCUUACUUUCUGUUGUUUGAGAAACAGUGAGGGAUAACGGCCCUCCAGCAAAAACAAACACAACGGCCUUCUUUGUCACAGAUACGAGUUGUAAUUUGCCAAAUGAAAGAAGAUGGCUUUUUAAUCUCCUGGGAGAGCUUUUUUUUUUUUUGCAUGGCUGAUUCUUGUACUUUUU